GAUGAACGCUAGCUACAGGCUUAACACAUGCAAGUCGCGGGGCAGCAUGGGGGUUGCUUGCAAUCCCUGAUGGCGACCGGCGCACGGGUGAGUAACGCGUAUCCAACCUGCCCUUCACCACGGGAUAACCCGGCGAAAGUCGGACUAAUACCGUAUGUUGUCCAUUGACGGCAUCCGAUUUGGACGAAAGGCUUAGCGGUGAGGGAUGGGGAUGCGUCCGAUUAGCUCGACGGCGGGGUAACGGCCCACCGUGGCAACGAUCGGUAGGGGUUCUGAGAGGAAGGUCCCCCACACUGGAACUGAGACACGGUCCAGACUCCUACGGGAGGCAGCAGUGAGGAAUAUUGGUCAAUGGGCGGAAGCCUGAACCAGCCAAGUAGCGUGCAGGAUGACGGCCCUAUGGGUUGUAAACUGCUUUUAUGCGGGGAUAAAGGGACUCACGUGUGGGUUUUUGCAGGUACC
Molecule: ribosomal RNA, 462 nt
Filed under: Prevotella sp. oral taxon 317
Lineage: Bacteria; Pseudomonadati; Bacteroidota; Bacteroidia; Bacteroidales; Prevotellaceae
Description: bacterial SSU rRNA
Rfam family: Bacterial small subunit ribosomal RNA
Source: RNAcentral